AGCUAUGUUAUUAUUUGCUUUUCGUCUUCUUCUCUAAUUUUACGCAAAAACUAGAUUCACGCUUUUAGAUUUGGACUGAUAAAGAGCAACCACAUAUACCACAUUGCAAAGACUCUGUGCAUGAAAAGUAAAUUUCAGAAACUUAACGAGCUGGUCCAAGAUCUAAGGAGGCAGUUGCCGCAAUGCAGAAAUGAAAAUCAGGUUGAGUUGACGAAGCUAGAAACUGAGCUUGAUCAGCUGCUGUUAAGAGGUGUUCAGUCCAUUUUUACAGGUACAUUGUUUUCUCCUAGUACAUGUGGUUGAUUUCUUCUAACAUAUUAAAACUACUGUAAAGUGACUCAUGAUUGAAAGCAUUCAUCGACUUAACAGUUACUAUUGAUAAAUUUUGGGAUUACCUAUUAAUUUAGGUUUUAGAUAUGGUGGAUGGCUAGAAUCAAUUUGAUGCAGUAGGAGAUAUUGGAUAUGAAUCUCAUUGUUAGAUGAUCAGCUGCUACAUUCAUCAUGUUUCACGAGUGCUUUGCUUGCUGUCUCGACCCUCGACCCUUUACUUUAGAGAUUUCAAUAGAUCAGAAGAGAGUUAAGAGGUAGUUGACAACUUUUAUAAGCUAGCCAGAGAUAUAAUCAAGGUUGAUGCGUUCAACAGAGGAUAUCAUCUUUGGAACAAAUUAGAGCUCAUGGUAAAAUCUUCAUUUUUUGGUUAUGGAUCAUCAACUAUAUGUUUGGUUUUUUUUUGUAAGUGUGUAGCAUUACAAAGGUGCCCAAUUAGCCGAUCACAUAUAAGCCAUAUAUAGCUGCUUCUUUCUGUGAUUGGUCAGUAUGUCACCAAUAUAAGUAUCUUGUUGGUAGCCUUUUCUGAAUGUGUGCAAAUUUGCGUUCUCUUUUCUUAGCUAUUAACUGUACACAGUACACAUUAAAGUACUCAUUUUUACUCUCAUUAUGAGCCACAUUCUCUUCAGCUAGUAAGUAGUUCCGAAGAAUUUGUUUCUCUAUA
RNA transcript from Arabidopsis thaliana (thale cress), 991 nucleotides. RefSeq lists it as uncharacterized. The transcript is spliced from 4 exons. NCBI's taxonomy places the organism in Eukaryota, Viridiplantae, Streptophyta, Magnoliopsida, Brassicales, Brassicaceae. The record is from RefSeq.